CUUGUUUUUUCCCGCCUUUUUUGCCGCCAUCUUUGGAAGGUCAGGUGCUUCUCAGCCAGCCGCCAUCUUGGGAGUGGCACAAAACCCCUAAGGCUUCCCUCGGCUCAUCCUUUAGGAGCCCAACUAAAUCGACUGCCGAAACUCGCCCACGACACAGCUGAGCCCCCAGCCCAUGCCCGUAAUCUUCAUAUCUAUUAUCUAUACGUGCACUAAACUUCAGAGCUGGUGGAUGCCGUUGCUCGGCAGGUGCCGAAUAAAGCGCCGUUCUCAGCCGGCAGGCGGAUGUGGCGUCAGUAUUUCCACCAUCAAAGCACUUAGACAAAACCUUGGAAGAGUUUGCAGAAGAAGUUCUGUUUGUGCACGUCGGGUGGCACUGGUCUCGUGGGCCCCCUACGUACAUUUCUUUCUCAAGUGACGAAAGCAUUCUCUUUGGAUACGGAUUAACUUUUUGAAGACCGAAAUGGAAAGGAAGAGCAGAAUUAAAUGAGACCUCCAAAAACGAGCUGAGAAGGGAAGCGAUGGAGUGGCUUUGGUGGGCACCUGGCAUCCAGACGGGGUCAAACCACCCCAACUAGCUGCAUCAUAUUGGAAUCUUUGUGUGACGAGCCCCGGCAGUCAGAGAUCUUCAGAAAACUAAACAUAAAUGAAGUAAUAGUCAAGACGGUGAGUGUAUUUCAAAGGGUGAGAAUCUCUUUAUGAAUCGUCCUGGCAAAUUUGCAGCUAUUAAGCGUGUUGCCGUUGGAGCAAACAGAAAUGCUACAGGAGCGUCCUUUUUUUGCGGUCAUUUUGGCAGCUAGGUUGUGCCAGCCGGAGAAACACAGCGUGUUUUCUGGUUUUAAUGAAGUGCUGUGGUCACCAAGCAUAAGAACUGCGUGAACUCAGUCUCCUUUGGGUCAUUCUGUCCAGUGCUUUUGUGGGUACAAUUGCCUAGCAGGGAGCCCCGCUUCGUUUUGCUCCCUCGGGCUGCGUGCAGACAGACACAGACGGCGAUUCCUUGUUUGUGCUUGCAGCAGUGGGAGCCUGCCUGUGAUCCUGCAGGUAUUGCACGGCUGCAUUUUCUUCUCCAAGAAGUCAGGGCCUUGGAGAGACGACGGCAGAGGGCUGCAACCAUUGUGGUUUCCAGGACACAGAAAGGGACGCGUGCCAGGGCAAUCCUACCAGACUCUGUAUUUCAGAGGCCUGUGUUUAAUGUCAAAAAAGAUCCAAGCCCAGCUGAAAGAGCUUCGUUGUGGGAAGAAGGAUUUGAUUUUUAAGGUAAGUUUUAUUUCACUGUAGUUAGCUAAAGUAUUAGGGUUAGUACAGCAUUGGAGUAAAGUAGGAAUAUUAUAGCUGCCUUUAUCAUUGCAGUUCUAAGGCAUAAGUUUGUUCUGAAAAGAGCUCAAAACACAGAUAAAAAACAGCUCAAAAACCAGACUUAUUACCAUAAUGCACUUUCGGAUAUAUAAUACACUCACAUCUAUAUUUUUGUGCUCACAAAAAGCAAGAUUCUAGGUUCCUGCUGAUGAAUAAAGCCUGUUGUGCUAUUCCAUACAUUCUGUAACAUCUUUCAUCUUUCUAACUGAAUGAUCCAAUAUUUUAUAGAUGCUUCUUGUUUUUCCUUUGAUUCGCACUCCUUCAUGACAAAGUCAACUCUUGUUAACAUUUAAAGCAAAUCUCUGUGUUCAUGAUAAGCUUGAGCAAUGUCAUGUUCCUGAGGUCUGAAGACUGAAGGAAAACAAACCUGUUUGUGCAUGUUUCACGUCUAAAGCCAGACACACUAAGCCGAGUAGAAGCCAUUUGGUAUAGUCUGGAAAGUUUUUUAAGUACCUGCUUGUGCUGAGUGAGAGGUGAACCGGUGUCAGGAAUGAACCCCACGCAAAAUCCCUUGCGCGAGGUCUCGAGUCGGAGCUUCCGUUUACCAGGAAGACUGAAACAAACGCUGGUUUCAAGUGACGGAGUCAGAACAGGACCUGACACGCUGCUGGUCAGGGUGGUGGGAGCAGUCCCAUGAAAUGGUGGUGGCAUUCGCACGGGAGCGAUGGAAGUGCUCCUGUCAAAAGAAGGAACCUGUGGAAAGGUCUGGUCCUUCUCUGGAGGUCCGGUGGUGGUGGUGGUGGAGAGCUCCUGUCCCCUGAGAAUCCAGUGGUAGGUGUCAGGUCCCAAACCCCAGAUUAUAUGGAGGCGGGAAUGUUCGGUACAUCCCCGAGGGCGGGGAGUUUCACACUGGGCUGAUGUGAUUCUGUGAGUUGUUCUGGGGAGUCCUUGAUUAGCAGAGGUGACCCCUCAGGGUGGCUGCUGCUUCCCCAGAAGGAGUUACCGUGGUUGAGUGGUGGCAAAGAUGGAGAAACAGUGCUGCACCCACCUGAGGUUCAUCAGAAAGUCACGGAGAUGGUGGUAGGAUACGUACUUUGGUUACACCCCUGUUGUAACCCAGGACGCUGCUUGAUCAGAGAGAGGCUGCUAGGUUUGGGCAAGAACAGGCGAUAUUUCAUUUCUAAUUGCUUUGAGACUGGAAACAUAACAGAUUUAAUCUUAGCAUUGCUGUUGAGGCUGUUUUAUGAAGCUGUUACUCUUCCUGAUAAAUGACAUGGAUAGUCUUCCUGCUGGCACAGCAUGAACGUUUGGGAUAAAAUCCUGGCUGCUAGCCACUUUCAUCUUCCUGGACUUUUACCUUUUCCACUUCUACUCCCUUCCCAUCCCGCUCAACUUUUUUUUUUCCAUGUGGCCUACUGAGGACUUUAGGGAAGUGUGUUCUCCACACAGUUCUGAGCACUGCAAGCUUCUGGGAGCUGUUCACCAGAAGGAUGCAUGUUGCAGGCUGUUAGAUUUCUAAAGGGCAUGAAGGAAAGCUGCAGCUCCUGUCCAUCAAAAGAAUGCUUUCUCUGAAGGAAUUAAUUCUGCAGGUACGUGUGAAAUAAAUAGGGAGGGAUGGCUGGAUUUCUACUUCACGUCACUGGCGUCAAGAAAGUAUUUCUUAAAUUCUGGUGCCUGUUACUGUCAAUGGCUCUGUCCUGAACUCGACCUCUGGGGAUUAACUGGGAGAGGAAGAGAAAAGGGGGGAAAAAAGGAGCUUUCUCUUUAGCAUUCCAGUGGAUUGGCAGAUCACAUCUUCUUUAUCAUAUCUUACUUACACUUCCUAUGUUUUCAAAGGGGUUCAUAAUCUAGCUGAUUAUUAGGGAGCAUAUGUGCGUGUAUGUUUAUAUUUUUAAACUCUCCCUAUGUGAUACAAAGCCACGGGACAGAUAAGUAAUGAGCAUCACAAAAAUUGUGAUGGUCAUAGUACCAAGGCCAUAGAGCUUGUCAGUAUCUCUGCUGAGAGUAUAAUUUGAGCUCCUGUCCCUUUGUCAGAUUUCAGUCCCUUACAGCAUGCAGCACGUUAUCCUUCAAGAACUGACCUA
Molecule: long non-coding RNA, 3377 nt
Organism: Hirundo rustica (Barn swallow)
Lineage: Eukaryota; Metazoa; Chordata; Aves; Passeriformes; Hirundinidae
Exons: 6
Source: RefSeq, a predicted model, not a curated record